CAAUCUCAACCCAACACUUUCCAUUGAGGGCAGAGUUGUUCUCCGAAUGAGUGACCAUUCAGAUUUCACUUCUGCCCUGGCUGUCCUGUUUGGGUCAUUCUGUUUUCAACAUUAAAUAUCCAGAACAGGCAGCCACAACUUUGGAAUUUAUCCAGAGAUUUUUUUGUCAGGAUAAAUCCAGAGCAGAGUAAGUGUGCUUCCAAGGUCCUGGUGAGCAGAAGGACUGGCAAGAUGGUCCAGCGGAAGAAUGAGUUCUUGAAUCCACAUGUGGCAUCAUUUAUCAGGGACUUCAUUCAGUAUGACUGGCAGAACAAUUGAUGCCAGCAAAGAAGACUCCAGCCCAGGAAGUGGCCAAGCAAUUUACAUACUGUUAAAUACUGUUUAUUAAUAGCUGUUGAAAUGUUUGCAGAACGCUUUGUAUCUAAUACAUUGACA
Long non-coding RNA from Paramormyrops kingsleyae, 435 nucleotides. RefSeq lists it as uncharacterized. Lineage: Eukaryota; Metazoa; Chordata; Actinopteri; Osteoglossiformes; Mormyridae. The record is from RefSeq and is a predicted model, not a curated record.